Molecule: ribosomal RNA, 497 nt
Filed under: uncultured bacterium
Lineage: Bacteria
Description: partial 16S ribosomal RNA
Rfam family: Bacterial small subunit ribosomal RNA
Source: RNAcentral
GAUGAACGCUGGCGGCGUGCCUAAUACAUGCAAGUCGAGCGAGCGGACGAGAAGCUUGCUUCUCUGAUGUUAGCGGCGGACGGGUGAGUAACACGUGGAUAACCUACCUAUAAGGCUGGGAUAACUUCGGGAAACCGUAGCUAAUACCGGAUAAUAUUUUGAACCGCAUGGUUCAAAAGUGAAAGACGGUCUUGCUGUCACUUAUAGAUGGAUCCGCGCUGCAUUAGCUAGUUGGUAAGGUAACGGCUUACCAAGGCAACGAUGCAUAGCCGACCUGAGAGGGUGAUCGGCCACACUGGAACUGAGACACGGUCCAGACUCCUACGGGAGGCAGCAGUAGGGAAUCUUCCGCAAAGGGCGAAAGCCUGACGGAGCAACGCCGCGUGAGUGAUGAAGGUCUUCGGAUCGUAAAACUCUGUUAUUAGGGAAGAACAUAUGUGUAAGUAACUGUGCACAUCUUGACGGUACCUAAUCAGAAAGCCACGGCUAACUACGUG